AGUAAAGUGAUGUCACAUAACGGACCCACAAGUGCCGCUGCUGAAAGUGUGCCCACACGGACCCAAUCCAUGUAUUUGACGGGUCAGAGUAAGUUAAGGCAAGACGAUAGUAAAAGCAGCCAGCAAUGUUAAUUACAAAGAGGGUAACACAUAUGAGUUUCGAGCACCGAACCCAAAAGUAGCUAUAGUUCUUAUCUUUUU
This 201-nucleotide unclassified non-coding RNA is filed under the name Hevea brasiliensis (rubber tree). The record is from RNAcentral. Lineage: Eukaryota; Viridiplantae; Streptophyta; Magnoliopsida; Malpighiales; Euphorbiaceae.